This 253-nucleotide ribosomal RNA is filed under the name uncultured bacterium. RNAcentral's name for it is "partial 16S ribosomal RNA". It matches the Rfam family "Bacterial small subunit ribosomal RNA", at positions 524 to 776 of the family's 1533-position model. The record is from RNAcentral.
UACGUAGGGUGCGAGCGUUGUCCGGAAUUACUGGGCGUAAAGAGCUCGUAGGUGGUUUGUCGCGUUGUUCGUGAAAUCUCACGGCUUAACUGUGAGCGUGCGGGCGAUACGGGCAGACUAGAGUACUGCAGGGGAGACUGGAAUUCCUGGUGUAGCGGUGGAAUGCGCAGAUAUCAGGAGGAACACCGGUGGCGAAGGCGGGUCUCUGGGCAGUAGCUGACGCUGAGGCGCGACAGCGUGGGGAGCAAACAGG